Molecule: long non-coding RNA, 135 nt
Organism: Myotis davidii
Lineage: Eukaryota; Metazoa; Chordata; Mammalia; Chiroptera; Vespertilionidae
Exons: 2
Source: RefSeq, a predicted model, not a curated record
UUCAAAUCCCCUCAGGAGAGAGGAAACUGAAAUCCGCACCCGCUGGCUCCACACAUAGAGUUUUGGAGUCAAAUAGUUGUUGAAAAUCAGUAAUGUCCGCAUCUUGAAUUUCAAAGCCGAACCAACUCCUGAUGG